CUGAUAAUGUGUAUAUUUGGACAAACUCGAUAGAAUAAAAUUUGUUGGCUUUGUGUUUUUUGAUCAGUUAAGAAUUUCUUUGACCAUGAAACACAGUAGUUUUGCAUCACUUACAGGUCAGGUAUUGUCUUUGACAUUAUGGCUUGCUCGAGUUUACAUGGAAGAAUACGGAGACGAUGAUAUCUCCUUGUUGUUGACACUUGGUACGCCUCACUUGUAGAAACUAAGGGAGUCUCUGCGUUUCACUUUAACGAUAUUAGCAACAUGGUGUAAGAGACUUGUGAAGCUUGAGCUUAGUGGUUGUGAAGGUAGCUUUGAUGGGAUUAAAACCAUGGGAAAUGUUGUGACUACAGACCUGCUGAGAAUCUCGUCUUGUGGAAAGGUGGAUCCUUGUAUUGGACCAGAGAAGUUGAUGAGGUCUUGUCCGGCUCUCGAGAGUUUGCAACUCAAAAAAUGUUGUUUGAAUGAUAAAGAAGGGAUGGGAGCUUCUUGGGGCAUUUUAUAUUUUAUAUUCGAUGGAUCCUUAUCCUGGACCAGAGAAGCGUUGGGAGCUUCUCGAUGGUUUGUAUCAAUUAGUACACUGAUAUUUUGUAUAAAAUGAUAUUAUUGAGAAAAAUUAUUAUUGAUUUUAUUUUGUUGUGA
Molecule: long non-coding RNA, 642 nt
Organism: Raphanus sativus (radish)
Lineage: Eukaryota; Viridiplantae; Streptophyta; Magnoliopsida; Brassicales; Brassicaceae
Exons: 2
Source: RefSeq, a predicted model, not a curated record